This 484-nucleotide ribosomal RNA is filed under the name uncultured bacterium. RNAcentral describes it as "partial 16S ribosomal RNA". It matches the Rfam family "Bacterial small subunit ribosomal RNA", at positions 30 to 507 of the family's 1533-position model. The record is from RNAcentral.
AUUGAACGCUGGCGGCAGGCCUAACACAUGCAAGUCGAGCGGAUGAAGGGAGCUUGCUCCUGGAUUCAGCGGCGGACGGGUGAGUAAUGCCUAGGAAUCUGCCUGGUAGUGGGGGAUAACGUCCGGAAACGGGCGCUAAUACCGCAUAAGUCCUGAGGGAGAAAGUGGGGGAGCUUCGGACCUCACGCUAUCAGAUGAGCCUAGGUCGGAUUAGCUAGUUGGUGGGGUAAAGGCCUACCAAGGCGACGAUCCGUAACUGGUCUGAGAGGAUGAUCAGUCACACUGGAACUGAGACACGGUCCAGACUCCUACGGGAGGCAGCAGUGGGGAAUAUUGGACAAUGGGCGAAAGCCUGAUCCAGCCAUGCCGCGUGUGUGAAGAAGGUCUUCGGAUUGUAAAGCACUUUAAGUUGGGAGGAAGGGCAGUAAGUUAAUACCUUGCUGUUUUGACGUUACCAACAGAAUAAGCACCGGCCAACUUCGUG